GGGGCAUUAGCUCAGCUGGGAGAGUGCUUGCAUGGCAUGCAAGAGGUCAGGGGUUCGAUCCCCCUAUGCUCCA
RNAcentral lists this transfer RNA (73 nucleotides) under Heyndrickxia shackletonii. Its description in RNAcentral is "Bacillus shackletonii tRNA". It matches the Rfam family "tRNA". Rfam says of the family: Transfer RNA (tRNA) molecules are approximately 80 nucleotides in length. Their secondary structure includes four short double-helical elements and three loops (D, anti-codon, and T loops). Further hydrogen bonds mediate the characteristic L-shaped molecular structure. tRNAs have two regions of fundamental functional importance: the anti-codon, which is responsible for specific mRNA codon recognition, and the 3' end, to which the tRNAs corresponding amino acid is attached (by aminoacyl-tRNA synthetases). tRNAs cope with the degeneracy of the genetic code in two manners: having more than one tRNA (with a specific anti-codon) for a particular amino acid; and 'wobble' base-pairing, i.e. permitting non-standard base-pairing at the 3rd anti-codon position. The record is from Rfam by way of RNAcentral. RNAcentral also lists the same sequence under 12 other names. Lineage: Bacteria; Bacillati; Bacillota; Bacilli; Caryophanales; Bacillaceae.